UACGUAGGUGGCAAGCGUUGUCCGGAAUUAUUGGGCGUAAAGCGCGCGCAGGCGGCCUCUUAAGUCUGAUGUGAAAGCCCCCGGCUCAACCGGGGAGGGCCAUUGGAAACUGGGAGGCUUGAGUAUAGGAGAGAAGAGGUGAAUUCCACGUGUAGCGGUGAAAUGCGUAGAGAUGUGGAGGAACACCAGUGGCGAAGGCGACUCUUUGGCCUAUAACUGACGCUGAGGCGCGAAAGCGUGGGGAGCAAACAGG
Molecule: ribosomal RNA, 253 nt
Filed under: uncultured bacterium
Lineage: Bacteria
Description: partial 16S ribosomal RNA
Rfam family: Bacterial small subunit ribosomal RNA
Source: RNAcentral